Molecule: ribosomal RNA, 215 nt
Filed under: uncultured bacterium
Lineage: Bacteria
Description: partial 16S ribosomal RNA
Rfam family: Bacterial small subunit ribosomal RNA
Source: RNAcentral
UCAGUUCGGAUUGUAGGCUGCAACUCGCCUACAUGAAGUUGGAAUCGCUAGUAAUCGCGAAUCAGAAUGUCGCGGUGAAUACGUUCCCGGGUCUUGUACACACCGCCCGUCACACCACGAGAGUUUACAGCACCCGAAGUCAGUGGCCUAACCGCAAGGAGGGAGCUGCCUAAGGUGGGGGUAGAUGAUUGGGGGUGAAGUCGUAACAAGGUAAC